RNAcentral lists this ribosomal RNA (564 nucleotides) under uncultured bacterium. Its description in RNAcentral is "partial 16S ribosomal RNA". It matches the Rfam family "Bacterial small subunit ribosomal RNA", at positions 355 to 1375 of the family's 1533-position model. The record is from RNAcentral.
UGGGGAAUAUUGGACAAUGGGCGCAAGCCUGAUCCAGCCAUGCCGCGUGAGUGAUGAAGGCCUUAGGGUUGUAAAGCUCUUUCGCCGGUGAAGAUAAUGACGGUAACCGGAGAAGAAGCCCCGGCUAACUUCGUGCCAGCAGCCGCGGUAAUACGAAGGGGGCUAGCGUUGCUCGGAAUCACUGGGCGUAAAGCGCACGUAGGCGGAUCGUUAAGUCAGGGGUGAAAUCCUGGAGCUCAACUCCAGAACUGCCCUUGAUACUGGCGAUCUCGAGUUCGAGAGAGGUUGGUGGAACUCCGAGUGUAGAGGUGAAAUUCGUAGAUAUUCGGAAGAACACCAGUGGCGAAGGCGGCCAACUGGCUCGAUACUGACGCUGAGGUGCGAAAGCGUGGGGAGCAAACAGGAUUAGAUACCCCUGGUAGUCCACGCCGUAAACGAUGGGAUGCUAGCCGUUGGGGGGUUUACCUCUCAGUGGCGCAGCUAACGCCUUAACGCAUCCCGGCCUGGGGAGUACGGUCGCAAGAUUAAAACUUAAAGGAAUUGACGGGGUCAUAGCUGUUUCCU